GGGUUGUGAGGUUAAGCGACUAAGCGUACACGGUGGAUGCCCUGGCAGUCAGAGGCGAUGAAGGACGUGCUAAUCUGCGAUAAGCGUCGGUAAGGUGAUAUGAACCGUUAUAACCGGCGAUUUCCGAAUGGGGAAACCCAGUGUGUUUCGACACACUAUCAUUAACUGAAUCCAUAGGUUAAUGAGGCGAACCGGGGGAACUGAAACAUCUAAGUACCCCGAGGAAAAGAAAUCACCCGAGAUUCCCCCAGU
RNAcentral lists this ribosomal RNA (252 nucleotides) under Shigella sonnei. RNAcentral describes it as "partial 23S ribosomal RNA". It matches the Rfam family "Bacterial large subunit ribosomal RNA", at positions 1 to 244 of the family's 2925-position model. Lineage: Bacteria; Pseudomonadati; Pseudomonadota; Gammaproteobacteria; Enterobacterales; Enterobacteriaceae. The record is from RNAcentral.